RNAcentral lists this ribosomal RNA (460 nucleotides) under uncultured bacterium. RNAcentral describes it as "partial 16S ribosomal RNA". It matches the Rfam family "Bacterial small subunit ribosomal RNA", at positions 338 to 795 of the family's 1533-position model. The record is from RNAcentral.
CCUACGGGGGGCAGCAGUGAGGAAUAUUGGUCAAUGGACGAGAGUCUGAACCAGCCAAGUAGCGUGAAGGAUGACUGCCCUAUGGGUUGUAAACUUCUUUUAUAUGGGAAUAAAAUGUUCCACGUGUGGGAUUUUGUAUGUACCAUAUGAAUAAGGAUCGGCUAACUCCGUGCCAGCAGCCGCGGUAAUACGGAGGAUCCGAGCGUUAUCCGGAUUUAUUGGGUGUAAAGGGAGCGUAGGUGGAUUGUUAAGUCAGUUGUGAAAGUUUGCGGCUCAACCGUAAAAUUGCAGUUGAAACUGGCAGUCUUGAGUACAGUAGAGGUGGGCGGAAUUCGUGGUGUAGCGGUGAAAUGCUUAGAUAUCACGAAGAACUCCGAUUGCGAAGGCAGUUCACUGGACUGCAACUGACACUGAGGCUCGAAAGUGUGGGUAUCAAACAGGAUUAGAUACCCUUGUAGUC